AAAGACCCCGUGAACCUUUACUAUAGCUUGACACUGAACAUUGAGCCUUGAUGUGUAGGAUAGGUGGGAGGCUUUGAAGUGUGGACGCCAGUCUGCAUGGAGCCGACCUUGAAAUACCACCCUUUAAUGUUUGAUGUUCUAACGUGGACCCGUGAUCCGGGUUGCGGACAGUGUCUGGUGGGUAGUUUGACUGGGGCGGUCUCCUCCUAAAGAGUAACGGAGGAGCACGAAGGUUGGCUAAUCCUGGUCGGACAUCAGGAGGUUAGUGCAAUGGCAUAAGCCAGCUUGACUGCGAGCGUGACGGCGCGAGCAGGUGCGAAAGCAGGUCAUAGUGAUCCGGUGGUUCUGAAUGGAAGGGCCAUCGCUCAACGGAUAAAAGGUACUCCGGGGAUAACAGGCUGAUACCGCCCAAGAGUUCAUAUCGACGGCGGUGUUUGGCACCUCGAUGUCGGCUCAUCACAUCCUGGGGCUGAAGUAGGUCCCAAGGGUAUGGCUGUUCGCCAUUUAAAGUGGUACGCGAGCUGGGUUUAGAACGUCGUGAGACAGUUCGGUCCCUAUCUGCCGUGGGCGCUGGAGAACUGAGGGGGGCUGCUCCUAGUACGAGAGGACCGGAGUGGACGCAUCACUGGUGUUCGGGUUGUCAUGCCAAUGGCACUGCCCGGUAGCUAAAUGCGGAAGAGAUAAGUGCUGAAAGCAUCUAAGCACGAAACUUGCCCCGA
This 719-nucleotide ribosomal RNA is filed under the name Salmonella enterica. Its description in RNAcentral is "partial 23S ribosomal RNA". It matches the Rfam family "Bacterial large subunit ribosomal RNA", at positions 2084 to 2802 of the family's 2925-position model. Lineage: Bacteria; Pseudomonadati; Pseudomonadota; Gammaproteobacteria; Enterobacterales; Enterobacteriaceae. The record is from RNAcentral.